AGGUGGCAGCCACAUCUCCACCAUCCAAAUCAAAAAAUGUUUAACCAAGAUUAAGAGACUAUAAUGACUCUAAGCCUUAAUCCAAUUUUAAGGCUAAAAAUGCCUCUAAUUCAAAAACUAACAUCUUUUUGGCAAAACUAAUACUACCAAUAUUUCUAAAAUAAAUUUUUACUCAAAGAUUGAUUAUUCUCAAGUCCAAAUACGAAUUCUAAAUCAGAAAAAUUAAUUAAUUUAUUAAUUUAG
This 243-nucleotide long non-coding RNA is filed under the name Physcomitrium patens. RNAcentral describes it as "long non-coding RNA (PPAT_LNC011222)". Lineage: Eukaryota; Viridiplantae; Streptophyta; Bryopsida; Funariales; Funariaceae. The record is from RNAcentral.